CCCAGACUCCUACGGGAGGCAGCAGUGGGGGAUAUUGCACAAUGGGGGAAACCCUGAUGCAGCGACGCCGCGUGUGGGAAGACGGUCUUCUGGAUUGUAAACCACUGUCCCCAGGGACGAAAAUGACGGUACCUGGGGAGGAAGCUCCGGCUAACUACGUGCCAGCAGCCGCGGUAAUACGGGGGAUGCGAGCGUUAUCCGGAUUUAUUGGGUUUAAAGGGUGCGUAGGCGGAAUAUCAAGUCAGCGGUAAAAAUUCGGGGCUCAACCCCGUCGUGCCGUUGAAACUGAUGUUCUUGAGUGGGCGAGAAGUAUGCGGAAUGCGUGGUGUAGCGGUGAAAUGCAUAGAUAUCACGCAGAACUCCGAUUGCGAAGGCAGCAUACCGGCGCCCAACUGACGCUCAGGCACGAAAGCGUGGGUAUCGAACAGGAUUAGAUACCCCGGUA
RNAcentral lists this ribosomal RNA (445 nucleotides) under uncultured bacterium. RNAcentral describes it as "partial 16S ribosomal RNA". It matches the Rfam family "Bacterial small subunit ribosomal RNA", at positions 330 to 792 of the family's 1533-position model. The record is from RNAcentral.